This 584-nucleotide long non-coding RNA is filed under the name Dermacentor andersoni. Its description in RNAcentral is "uncharacterized LOC126526157". The record is from RNAcentral. Lineage: Eukaryota; Metazoa; Arthropoda; Arachnida; Ixodida; Ixodidae.
AAUUUUAACCCAUUACUUUUUUUUUCACAGGACAAAAAAGGCCAUGUGGCAAGAAAUUGCUUGUAUGAUCAAUACAGAGUUCUCAGUUGUGAUGACUGAGCUGCAGGUGCAGAAUAAAUGAAAGAGCCUUGAACGCUCAUAUAAGAAGACAAAAACAAAAAACAAUUCAUCCGGGCACUCGACGGCUUUGUGUGAAUAUGAAGAAGAGCUAAGUGACGUUCUUGAAAAAGAACACAUCACACCUACAGUGCUGAUGAAGCCUGGAGCAACAAUUGAGAAAGACAGCAGCAUGUCUCCCGGCGCUGAUGACGGCACUGACAUGGAGCCAGAAUUGUCAAUGGGCAAACCCCUGCCAAGGCCUGCAUCAGCUGCAGUUGUGAAUGCACACCCUAAGGAUGCCUUGCGAAGAAAAAAGGACAGCACAUCGUUGAAUGCCCUUUUAAGAGAAUUUAAGGAGGCAAAGGAAGAGCGGGCCGAACGCUUUGAUAGGAAAAUGGCUUUGUUAGAGCGGCUGGUUACAGCUGUUGAGAAAGUUGCCACAACGGCUCCUGAAUAAAAAUUUUCAAAAAAAGAAAACGUGUGUG